This 104-nucleotide transfer RNA is filed under the name Ophiostoma piceae UAMH 11346. It matches the Rfam family "tRNA". From Rfam's summary of the family: Transfer RNA (tRNA) molecules are approximately 80 nucleotides in length. Their secondary structure includes four short double-helical elements and three loops (D, anti-codon, and T loops). Lineage: Eukaryota; Fungi; Ascomycota; Sordariomycetes; Ophiostomatales; Ophiostomataceae. The record is from Rfam by way of RNAcentral.
GAUCGUGUGGCCUAGUGGUUAGGGCAUGUCCUUUACAGUGAACGCCUACAAGCGUUGCAAAUGCUGAUCGGAUGGGAUCGCAGGUUCGACCCCUGCCACGAUCA